CAGCUCAAUGCCAUGUAUUGUUUUGACUGAUGUCACGUCAAUGCUAAUAAGGCUAAAAUAUGGAUAUUUUAAGCCUUUUUGACAUAGAUUGUGUAUAUGUGAAUUCAAUGCAUGUAGGCCCUUCAUACAUAUAUAUAUAGGCUAUGAGCAGCACUUCCUUCAAUUUAUUCAAUCAGCACAGCCAGAAGAGGACUGGCCACCCCUCAUAGCCUGGUUCCUCUCUAGGUUUCUAAUCUCCACCCAGCACAGCCAGAAGAGGACUGGCCACCCCUCAUAGCCUGGUUCCUCUCUAGGUUUCUAAUCUCCACCCAGCACAGCCAGAAGAGGACUGGCCACCCCUCAUAGCCUGGUUCCUCUCUAGGUUUCUAAUCUCCACCCAGCACAGCCAGAAGAGGACUGGCCACCCCUCAUAGCCUGGUUCCUCUCUAGGUUUCUAAUCUCCACCCGGCACAGCCAGAAGAGGACUGGCCACCCCUCAUAGCCUGGUUCCUCUCUAGGUUUCUAAUCUCCACCCAGCACAACCAGAAGAGGACUGGCCACCCCUCAUAGCCUGGUUCCUCUCUAGGUUUCUAAUCUCCACCCGGCACAGCCAGAAGAGGACUGGCCACCCCUCAUAGCCUGGUUCCUCUCUAGGUUUCUUCCUAGGUUUU
This 650-nucleotide long non-coding RNA is filed under the name Salmo salar (Atlantic salmon). RNAcentral's name for it is "lncRNA (ENSSSAG00000094316.1, ENSSSAG00000120028.1)". Lineage: Eukaryota; Metazoa; Chordata; Actinopteri; Salmoniformes; Salmonidae. The record is from RNAcentral.